GAUGAACGCUAGCUACAGGCUUAACACAUGCAAGUCGCGGGGCAGCAUGGGGGUUGCUUGCAAUCCCCGAUGGCGACCGGCGCACGGGUGAGUAACGCGUAUCCAACCUGCCCUUCACCACGGGAUAACCCGGCGAAAGUCGGACUAAUACCGUAUGUUGUCCAUUGACGGCAUCCGAUUUGGACGAAAGGCUGGGCGGUGGGGGAUGGGGAUGCGUCCGAUUAGCCAGACGGCGGGGUAACGGCCCACCGUGGCUACGAUCGGUAGGGGUUCUGAGAGGAAGGUCCCCCACACUGGAACUGAGACACGGUCCAGACUCCUACGGGAGGCAGCAGUGAGGAAUAUUGGUCAAUGGGCGUAAGCCUGAACCAGCCAAGUAGCGUGCAGGAUGACGGCCCUAUGGGUUGUAAACUGCUUUUAUGCGGGGAUAAAGUGGCCCACGUGUGGGCUUUUGCAGGUACCGCAUGAAUAAGGACCGGCUAAUUCCGUG
RNAcentral lists this ribosomal RNA (490 nucleotides) under uncultured bacterium. Its description in RNAcentral is "partial 16S ribosomal RNA". It matches the Rfam family "Bacterial small subunit ribosomal RNA", at positions 28 to 507 of the family's 1533-position model. The record is from RNAcentral.